GACGAACGCUGGCGGCGUGCUUAACACAUGCAAGUCGAACGGUAAGGCCCUUCGGGGUACACGAGUGGCGAACGGGUGAGUAACACGUGGGUGAUCUGCCCUGCACUUCGGGAUAAGCCUGGGAAACUGGGUCUAAUACCGGAUAGGACCCUGGGAUGCAUGUCCUGGGGUGGAAAGCUUUUGCGGUGUGGGAUGGGCCCGCGGCCUAUCAGCUUGUUGGUGGGGUGAUGGCCUACCAAGGCGAUGACGGGUAGCCGGCCUGAGAGGGUGACCGGCCACACUGGGACUGAGAUACGGCCCGGACUCCUACGGGAGGCAGCAGUGGGAAAUAUUGCACAAUGGGCGCAAGCCUGAUGCAGCGACGCCGCGUGAGGGAUGACGGCCUUCGGGUUGUAAACCUCUUUCAGCACCGACGAAGCGCAAGUGACGGUAGGUGCAGAAGAAGGACCGGCCAACUACGUGCCAGCAGCCGCAGUAA
This 478-nucleotide ribosomal RNA is filed under the name uncultured bacterium. Its description in RNAcentral is "partial 16S ribosomal RNA". It matches the Rfam family "Bacterial small subunit ribosomal RNA", at positions 28 to 523 of the family's 1533-position model. The record is from RNAcentral.